Molecule: long non-coding RNA, 2664 nt
Organism: Arachis duranensis
Lineage: Eukaryota; Viridiplantae; Streptophyta; Magnoliopsida; Fabales; Fabaceae
Exons: 3
Source: RefSeq, a predicted model, not a curated record
ACGCACACACAGCUGCACCCCUUCCCUACCUUCACUUACCCACAAAAAUCCCAUCAGAAGGAAAGAAAGAAAAGAAGAAAAGGAAGAGAGGAGUGGGGGACCGCGGGAAAAGGAAAGAAGGGAGAGAGAAGAAGGACGGCGCCGGCGGGUGUCACUGCCGCCGCGCCGCCGUGUCGCACCGAUGAGGGAGAGCGUCGGGGAGGAAAUUCAAAUGCCGCCGCCUUGACGUCCUACCGCUCGUGUCAUCGUCGCCAGCUUCGUCGGAUCCUUGCCGCCGAACCCGUUCUUACCGCCGCUGCUGGAAUCACGAACAGGGGAAGGAAAAGACGCGGGCCAGUGCCGCGAAGAGGAGCGCGACCCGCUACGCAACACUGCGCCGCCGUGUGUUUUUGCCGUCGCCGAGCUCCCGUGGUUGCCGCCGGCAAGGUUCAAAGAGAGAGAAGCUAGAGGAGAGAGAAAGAUCGACGAAGGGGGUUUUGUUCGAGCGGCCGUGCCUCCACCGCCUUUCACCGCCGCAGAUUCGCCACCAUCCACCGCGCCGCACCAUGCCACGUUGCCGCUGUUCUUUACUGCGCAGCCACCGCCACGCCUUGUCGUCGCCAGAGUUGCCACCGCCGCUUCUCACCACCGAGGAGAAAGCUUGCCUACGUUGCUGCCUUCCGGGCCAGAUUCACCGGUAACCCUGUUUCUGCUUUCCUGAACCAUGUUCCACUAUUUUGAUUAUUGUUGGUGUCUCUGCUACCUUAAUCACUCAAAUUAAUUCCACCAUCGCCACUGGCUUGCCAUUUUUGCUCGGCUGUGCCCUUAUUCGUCGUUCUGAUUGUUGAAAGGAAAUGAUGUCGAAGUUAUAGUUUCUCCGUUUUCCAUUCUCUUGUUUCUUUUCUGAGGGUGUUUGGAAUACAAAUCAUGACGUAGCUGCUGCAGAAUAAGGUGAAAAGAGGGUUUGUCGCAUUAAAAUCGUUGCGGGUUUGAUUCUUUGAGGUAGUGGUUUUCUUAAAAUCUAUUUUACAUUACAGAGUUGUGAUAAAUAGAUAUUGAUACAAAAAAAUAUACUUCUGUGAUUAUAUUUGUCUUGUGGAUGUGAUGGUUUAUUGAAUUGGAUUAUUGGGUGCUUGAUUGUGUGAGUGGUGUAUGGUUGUUGAUAAAAACCGGUUUGAAAUGUUAUUUGCUUGACUAUUAUGAAAGGUAGAUUUCUUUGGUUUUGGAGUUUACUUAGUAAUAUAAAUGAAUCAAUUUUGGGGAUUGGUUGAUUUGGGGUUGGUCUGAUUUUAUAAAUGAUUUACUAUUUGAGCUGAUUUGAUUUUAAAAAGAGUUUUACUGUUGAAACUGGUAUGAUUUAAAAAUAACUUGGUAUUGGAACUGGCUCAACUCUGAAAAAUGUUUGAGAUUUGGAAAUGGUUGAGAAAGAUUUGAGAAGUGUUUGGAUGGACCCAGAAAGGGUGGCAGCGUCUGAGUUUUAGAGGAGAUGCUAUUGAAAUUUUAUAAAAUUGGAAGUUCCACUUUAAGUAUUAUUUGAAAAGAUUUGGUUUUAAACAUUACAUGUCUUAAGGUUGAUUUAUUUACCAAAGAAAGAAUUAUUUUGAAUUGGGAUUGUCAAUGAGCGGAAUGGAGAGAAGGAUGAUAAAGAUUUUCUUUGAAAUAUGAGUUUUGAAUGAAUUUGAACAUGAGAUAUGGAUUGAGAAUGUUACAUGAAGGUUAAUUCCAUGGCUUGAUAAAUGAUUAUAUACUGAUUAUGAGAAUGAAAUGGCUUAUGAAUGAUGAUAGCUGAGAUACGAGGUUCCUUGGAUUAAGUGCCGUGGCAUGCCACCACGUGUACCAGGUUGAAAACUCGAUGCUCUGUUGACCCUACGAUGUAAGUGUAACCGGGCACUAUAUAAAUUUCCGGAAAUGUUACCUCCAUUGAGCAAUAUUGAUUAUUUGAGAAAAAGCUAUGCAUAGACUCAUGGGGAUGCAUGUCGGGGGACAGUCUAAGUGCAAUUCAGACUUGUCAGGCUGGCUGGAUAACUGACAGAUGAGCCUCAUCAGCCAUAGGACAUGCAUUCAUCAUAUGCAUUUGUAUGCUUUGCUUGAGUUUAAACUUGUUUGGGUUUGCCUAAUUGUUAAACUGUUCUUAACUGCUACUUGAACUAUUUGCUGUAACUGUUACUUACUUGUGCUUUGUUUGUCUGUCUUGCCUGUGUUUGUUCUGGCGUGCUACAUUUGAGAAUGAACUUUGGUGCUGAAUUAAUGAUUGUAUUGUUCGAUUGCGUGGUUAGCUUCCGAUCGAGAUUUUCUUAUAAGAAAGGAAAGGUUUCGGACUUCUAAAAAAUUAAACAUUGUUUUCUUUGAAGAGGUUUUGAACGAUUACCUAUUAUUUUUUUUAAAAGAUUCAUAAGGUAAUGAUAAUCAUUGAGCUUGAAAACAGAUUUUUAAUUAAAUAUCUUCUUAUGACAACUUUGAAACACCGUAGUGAGACCGUGUGGUUAGGUUCUCACCCCCCUGCAGCUUUACUUUUUCUGGAACCAGAUGAAGCAUUAUGAAGAGUUAGAUUGUUUAUAUGUGGUAUUAAUUAGAUUAUUUUCUUCUCUCGUCUUUGUUAUUACAAGUUUGUAAGAGGGAUAGGAAUUGUAUGUUUUAUAUGUAUAUUAUAUUAUGAGUUAUUAUGUAAGGAGUUUUGUAUAUGAA